RNAcentral lists this ribosomal RNA (245 nucleotides) under uncultured bacterium. Its description in RNAcentral is "partial small subunit ribosomal RNA". It matches the Rfam family "Bacterial small subunit ribosomal RNA", at positions 26 to 288 of the family's 1533-position model. The record is from RNAcentral.
AGAAUCAACGCUGGCGGCGUGCCUAACACAUGCAAGUCGAUCGAGAAAGUGGAGCAAUCCAUGAGUAAAGAGGCGCACGGGUGAGUAACACGUGACUAACCUACCCUCGAGUGGGGAAUAACCUGGGGAAACCCGGCUAAUACCGCAUAAUACCCACGGGUCAAAGGAGCAAUUCGCUUGAGGAGGGGUCGCGGCAGAUUAGUUAGUUGGCGGGUAAUGGCCCACCAAGACGAUGAUCUGUAUCC